RNAcentral lists this unclassified non-coding RNA (538 nucleotides) under Hevea brasiliensis (rubber tree). The record is from RNAcentral. Lineage: Eukaryota; Viridiplantae; Streptophyta; Magnoliopsida; Malpighiales; Euphorbiaceae.
AUGAAGAAACAGAGAAUCUUAGUCAUGAAAGAGUGCCAACUGAACUGAAGAAGAACAUCAUGCAAGCUCGGCUUGAUAAGAAACUGACACAGGCACAGCUAGCACAGCUGAUAAAUGAGAAGCCCCAAAUAAUCCAGGAGUAUGAGUCUGGGAAGGCGAUUCCUAAUCAGCAGAUAAUCAGUAAACUGGAAAGGGUUCUGGGCACCAAGCUGCGGGGUAAAAAGUAGUAGUCGGGAAGGGGGUCAAGUCUACCCGAGGAAUAUAAAAAAAAUGCAGUGUGUGGUUUUAAUUUGUGUUUUAUAGACUGUCUUGGGCUUGGCUGUUUAACUUUAAGUAUUUGCGCACUUGCACAUGAAACUUGAGAUGCAUGUGGCGCACUUCUACAUGUAAUUUCAGACGUGUGUGGUCUUUCUUACCAAAAUGAAUAUUUCAAUGGUCUGGGUUAUGUAUAUGAUGUUUGGUCUUCUGUUAUCAGUCGGCCAAAUUAAAUAAUACUCUGUAUCUGUGUUUAACUUUUGUUAUCGAAGUUUGAUUAUAA